GGUUUUAAGGAAAAAUAAUAGUUUGGAGACCUUCGAGAAUGAAUCUCGUCGAUCAGGACCCACCUUUGGAAUAAUUGUGGGUUCAGAUGUACACCGGUGUUGGUGAUUUCCGGCAGAGGUCGCCGAUGGUGGCCGUUAUCUGGUGUUCAACUUUUGGCUCUUCAAAGAAUUAAAUGAACGGAGGUGUUAACGGUGGAGUAUUGAUGAUAGAAGGUACUGUUACAAACCUCGAGAAGUUAGCUUCCCAUUAAUGGUGGUGCUAGGCAGUUUUAUUCGACGGUGGUCGCCGAAAUUUGGUGUGAAAUUCAGCAUGCUCACCGGAAAGGGAAAUAAAAUCUGCUACGGCAUCUGUUUUCGGAGCCAAAAUCGAAGGGUUUGGAGUGUGAAUUUGGGAAUCAUUCCAUCUCGAAACUCGUAGAGGACCUCGAAAAAUGUGUGUCAUUCGUGGUUGUGUACCUAAGAAAAUUUUGGUCUAUGAUGUUGCUUUUGGUGCUAACUCGAGCUAUGUUGGCGAAAUUAUGAGAAAUAGUAAACCUUCUGCCGCACCUGUUUUCGGAGUCGAAAUCGAAGGGUUUGGAGUGAGAUUUUCUAAUCAGUCUCUUCACAAAACUCGUAGAGGACCGUGAUAAUUAUAUGUUAUAACUUAUAAAUGCCAAAUUUGCAGUUGAGGCUAAAGUUUAGUUGGUGGCUCUACUGAUAAGGCACCCAAUUUCAGGCACCCGUAGAGAGGCAGAGGCAGUUGAAGCUAAUGAUAUUACUUCAAUCAAGUUCCAGAUGUGAAUGUUGUCAGCGGUUUUAAGUUCAAUUUAAUCGGCGAGGCAGUGUUUGGUUUCUUUGGUUGCUACUGUAUAUAUAUUGAUCACUGAUUUAAUUCACCUGUCAACAAUUAAUUAGUUAGGUGCUAAUAUGUAGUAACCAGCUAUCAAUUCAAUUUUUUUUCCUCACAAUUAUUAUUUGGUUUUUGUCAUUAGUAGCAAUAAACAAUUGUUUUUCGU
Erythranthe guttata (spotted monkey flower) is the source of this 995-nucleotide non-coding RNA. The record is from RefSeq and is a predicted model, not a curated record. NCBI's taxonomy places the organism in Eukaryota, Viridiplantae, Streptophyta, Magnoliopsida, Lamiales, Phrymaceae.